RNAcentral lists this long non-coding RNA (612 nucleotides) under Malus domestica (apple). RNAcentral describes it as "long non-coding RNA (MDOM_LNC017533)". Lineage: Eukaryota; Viridiplantae; Streptophyta; Magnoliopsida; Rosales; Rosaceae. The record is from RNAcentral.
UUUACAACAAAACGAAAGGAAAUGAAUUUAAACAUUAGAAACAAAAGAAAGAAAACACCUAAACGCUCCAACGAUCCAAGUUGGACAACAAGCACGUCCAAGCACUUUCCUUCCCUUCCUUUGCUACGGCACAAGGUGUUGGUGAAUGUUUGAAGGUUUGUUUGUAUGGAGGAAUGGAUGUGAAGAUGAAUGGAUGUGUUUGGAUGAAGGUUGUGUUGAAAUGGGAGUGAAUGAUCUAACCAAGUAUGAACUCCAUUUAUGUUACACACACUUCCUUUUAUAGAGGAAGUGCAAGGCAAAGUCUGGAUAAAAUGGAUUGGUGUUGAAAUGAUUGAAAGGUGAAAGUGAAGUAAUGAUGCAAAGCAUGGGUAAAAUGGAGUGGUGUUGAAAUGAUUCAAAGGUGAAAGUGAAGUAAUGAUGCAAACCAUGGGUAAAAUAGAGUGGUGUUGAAAUGAUUGAAAGGUGAAAGUGAAGUAAUGAUGCAAAGCAUGGGUAAAAUGGAGUGGUGUUGAAAUGAUUCAAAGGUGAAAGUGAAUUGAUGAUUGAUGCAAGAAUUAAACAUGGAUGGAGUGCAUGGCAAAGGUUUGUUAUGGUACAAGGAACCCUUAAUUU